This 82-nucleotide transfer RNA is filed under the name Echinostoma caproni. It matches the Rfam family "tRNA". From Rfam's summary of the family: Transfer RNA (tRNA) molecules are approximately 80 nucleotides in length. Their secondary structure includes four short double-helical elements and three loops (D, anti-codon, and T loops). The record is from Rfam by way of RNAcentral. Lineage: Eukaryota; Metazoa; Platyhelminthes; Trematoda; Plagiorchiida; Echinostomatidae.
AGCUACAAGGCUCAGCUGGUAGAGUGUAAGCGCACAAAGUGCAGACGGCGUCCAUGCGUGGGUUCGAAUCCCAUUGAGGCUG